Molecule: ribosomal RNA, 64 nt
Filed under: uncultured organism
Description: partial 16S ribosomal RNA
Source: RNAcentral
AACGUUUGACAUCCCUAUCGCGGAUCGUGGAGACACUUUCCUUCAGUUCGGCUGGAUAGGUGAC